AUUGAACGCUGGCGGCAUGCCUUACACAUGCAAGUCGAACGGCAGCACGGGGGCAACCCUGGUGGCGAGUGGCGAACGGGUGAGUAAUACAUCGGAACGUGCCUUGAAGUGGGGGAUAACGUAGCGAAAGUUACGCUAAUACCGCAUAUUCUGUGAGCAGGAAAGCAGGGGAUCGCAAGACCUUGCGCUUUGGGAGCGGCCGAUGUCGGAUUAGCUAGUUGGUGAGGUAAAAGCUCACCAAGGCGACGAUCCGUAGCGGGUCUGAGAGGAUGAUCCGCCACACUGGGACUGAGACACGGCCCAGACUCCUACGGGAGGCAGCAGUGGGGAAUUUUGGACAAUGGGCGCAAGCCUGAUCCAGCCAUGCCGCGUGAGUGAAGAAGGCCUU
This 388-nucleotide ribosomal RNA is filed under the name uncultured bacterium. Its description in RNAcentral is "bacterial SSU rRNA". It matches the Rfam family "Bacterial small subunit ribosomal RNA", at positions 30 to 418 of the family's 1533-position model. The record is from RNAcentral.